Molecule: transfer RNA, 67 nt
Filed under: Boreoheptagyia alulasetosa
Lineage: Eukaryota; Metazoa; Arthropoda; Insecta; Diptera; Chironomidae
Description: tRNA-Phe
Rfam family: tRNA
About the family: Transfer RNA (tRNA) molecules are approximately 80 nucleotides in length. Their secondary structure includes four short double-helical elements and three loops (D, anti-codon, and T loops).
Source: RNAcentral
AUUCAAAUAGCUUAUUUUUAGAGUAUGGCACUGAAGAUGCUAUGGAGAUAAUUUUUAUCUUUGGAUA